GAUGAACGCUGGCGGCGUGCCUAAUACAUGCAAGUCGAGCGAACAGAUAAGGCGCUUGCUCCUUUGACGUUAGCGGCGGACGGGUGAGUCACACGUGGGUAACCUACCUAUAAGACUGGAAUAACUACGGGAAACCGGGGCUAAUGCCGGAUAACAUGUUGAACCGCAUGGUUCUACAGUGAAAGGCGGCUUUGCUGUCACUUAUAGAUGGACCCGCGCCGUAUUAGCUAGUUGGUGAGGUAACGGCUCACCACGGCAACUAUACGUAGCCGACCUGAGAGGGGGAUCGGCCACACUGGAGCUGAGACGCGGUCCAGACGCCUGCGGGAGGCAGCAGUAGGGAAUGUUCCGCAAUGGGCGAAAGCCUGACGGAGCAACGCCGCGUGAGUGAUGAAGGUCUUCGGAGCGUAAAACUCUGUUAUUAGGGAAGAACAAAUGCGUAAGUAACUGUGCGCGUCGUGACGGUACCUAAUCAGAAAGCCACGGCUAACUACGUG
RNAcentral lists this ribosomal RNA (497 nucleotides) under uncultured bacterium. Its description in RNAcentral is "partial 16S ribosomal RNA". It matches the Rfam family "Bacterial small subunit ribosomal RNA", at positions 28 to 507 of the family's 1533-position model. The record is from RNAcentral.